Molecule: non-coding RNA, 1102 nt
Organism: Manis javanica (Malayan pangolin)
Lineage: Eukaryota; Metazoa; Chordata; Mammalia; Pholidota; Manidae
Source: RefSeq, a predicted model, not a curated record
GACGCUCGAGGCAGCCCCAGGGCCACACGUGUGUGUCUGGAUGGAAGGCAGUGUCCGUGGGUGCGUGUGAGUGGACGUGUGAAUAGAGCGAAGGUCGUCCGCCCCCGACCCUUCUGGCAGGAUGUGUUGCGGUGGUAGAGAAAACCAGAUUGGAGGGGUUACUGGGCCUGCAGCGGUGAAAGGAGGAAACAUGAGAAAAAACAGUGGGGUAAAGAACCAGACUUGUGCAGAGUGACGGCUUUCAGCUUCCUCCGGGUCUCUCCCCAGCUUCCUUCACAGGCGUGGCCCUCACAGAUCUUCUGCAUGAAUCAAAUGCUGGUUCUCAAAUAUCACCAACAAGAGACAUGACACUCCAACUGGGACCUGUCUUCCCACGAGACCAGCGGCAGCUUGCCCUCGUCCUCUUUUUCCGGUGCUGGCUCCUCACACUCACCACUCCUCUUUGGCCUUUGGGUAAGUUUUCCCCUGGAGCGGGACACUCUUCCACAAGUUAUCACAGCGCCAUUGACCAUGAUCGUCUGGCAAGGCUCUGACGCUGGGGGACGAGGAGGGAACUCUCCCCGCCUCUGGCCUUCACGGCUGUGGUGGGCCCUCAGGCCCCUUCUCCAACAGCCAUAAAUGAGGUGACUCUUUUGCGGAUGAGAAUGCUCCCUUUUACCCCCUCCUCCUUCUGUUCAUUCCGCCAAAAAUUCCUAGUACUAGGUUCCUCGUGACUCCAGCACUCUGCCUUCUUAGAGAGGUCUGGGUGAUGACCCAGACUUCCUAAGAAAUUCCAACUUGUAUACGAGUUUCCGCAGACCACCAAGGAUCAUUGGGGACGCCCUUUGUCUCCUUGCGGUCAGCUCCCAGUCUGAGGAUCUCCUUUCAUCUUUCCCUGUUUGUCUCCUUCUCUGUCCUUUAGCCAUGGGAGACCCCUCAUCCCUCUGUAAAGAUUCACCUCUUGAAUGCCUGCUCAAGUAUCUACCCACCCUCUCCCUGACACCUGAUAUAAAACCAAAACUUCUCCAUAAAUACUGCUCCCAAGAUUGGCCGACAUACCCCCUUAGACAAUCACAACCAAUGGCCCACAGGGGGAACUCUUAAUCCUAACAUCACUCGCGAU